AACCGUGGUCCCCCUCCUCGCCUGUAACUCAGCAACACAGGUAACUAUUUUUUUUCCGAUCAAAACCCCCCAAUUUAAUUUUUAGGGUUACCGUUAUUUAGCAAUGGGCUAUUUUUAUUUCUCGAUCUGGAUUGGUUUUCUUCGUCUAUGCAAGGAAGCUACGUAAGUUAGUUUGUGCUGAAGAAGUUGUUCUUGCAGCUGUAGAAGAGCUUGUCAUGCCCUGAAGGGAGAGAACAGCAGACUUCAUGCGGAGGAUGCACAGCUUAAUUGCACAGUUGUAGAAGAUCCUGUGAGGUUAUGUUGUCAACUUACAAUUUCUUUAUUCUAGUGGUUUCCUUAUUAGUGCAACAUAAUUUGAAGUACGUCAUUAGCAAUGCUCAUUGUUUUGGUGGGAUUGGUUGCACCAUGACAGAGUUCAGUUGGGAUCGAUGUCAAGUAUGCUGGCCUUCAAAUCAUGGCUUCCAAGAAAGCUGCAUUCGUCUCGGCCUUGGAAUUAGUUGACAGGGUAAUGGGAAUGGAUCAUCCGUCUAAAUUUCACGAUGGCAUUUGAUCUUGUGGACUCUACUGAAGCUGAUGAGAAUUUGAACGUGGAAUCGCCUGACCUGUUUUAUGCUGGCUUUGAUAGAAAUUAAUGAUUGGAGAGAUGCUGAAACUGAAUAAAAUGAGACAGUGCAGCAAGCUGUUCUUGGUGUUUGCUUAUUGUGCUAAGGAGGGAAUACAUGUGUUUAAAUUU
Molecule: long non-coding RNA, 733 nt
Organism: Populus trichocarpa (black cottonwood)
Lineage: Eukaryota; Viridiplantae; Streptophyta; Magnoliopsida; Malpighiales; Salicaceae
Exons: 2
Source: RefSeq, a predicted model, not a curated record